Molecule: non-coding RNA, 157 nt
Filed under: Dethiosulfovibrio peptidovorans
Lineage: Bacteria; Thermotogati; Synergistota; Synergistia; Synergistales; Dethiosulfovibrionaceae
Also listed under: 1 other name
Description: GlcN6P sequence
Rfam family: glmS glucosamine-6-phosphate activated ribozyme aptamer
About the family: This entry contains a glucosamine-6-phosphate activated ribozyme that is found in the mRNA for GlmS.
Source: RNAcentral
CGCCCGAUAAAAGCGCCUGAACUAGGGAGACCUAGUUGACGAGGACGGAGGUUAUCGAUCUAUCGGCGGAUGCCUCCGGGGGGGCGGGAAAACUCCCUGAAUCGGGAACACAAAACCGCUGGGCGACCGGUGGGACAAAAGCUCCCGUUUUUCCCGA